This 323-nucleotide RNase P RNA is filed under the name Verrucomicrobiota bacterium. RNAcentral describes it as "RNase P RNA component class A". It matches the Rfam family "Bacterial RNase P class A". From Rfam's summary of the family: Ribonuclease P (RNase P) is a ubiquitous endoribonuclease, found in archaea, bacteria and eukarya as well as chloroplasts and mitochondria. Its best characterised activity is the generation of mature 5'-ends of tRNAs by cleaving the 5'-leader elements of precursor-tRNAs. Lineage: Bacteria; Pseudomonadati; Verrucomicrobiota. The record is from RNAcentral.
CGGGGUGGUAGGCCAUCGCACCUGAAAAAGGUGAGGAAAGUCUGGACUUCAGAGGGGAGGAUACCAGCUAACGGCUGGGCAUCGCAAGAUGACGGAAAGUGCAACAGAAACUAUACCUUACGGUUGAAAAGUUCGAGGUUGAACUCGAUCGGACUCCGGGUAACCGGAGACGUUGUAAACCCUAUCCGAAGCAAGGUCGAACCUGGAGAGCGUACCCUUAGCGCGACAAAGACUCCAAAGCGGACCGCUUGAGAAAUCUGGCAACAGGUUUCCUAGAAGAAUGAUGGCUCGCGACAGAAUCCGGCUUAACGCCACCCCACUUU